Long non-coding RNA from Macrobrachium nipponense, 571 nucleotides. RefSeq lists it as uncharacterized. NCBI's taxonomy places the organism in Eukaryota, Metazoa, Arthropoda, Malacostraca, Decapoda, Palaemonidae. The transcript is spliced from 3 exons. The record is from RefSeq and is a predicted model, not a curated record.
UCAGAGUUCUUCGCCCUAAGGAUGGACGUUGGGGAGGACCAGAGUCCGACGGGAGUGUCAGUGGCAUGAUAGGGAUGGUAGCUCGUUACGAGGUGCAUUUGGCCAUAGAUGAAAUCACAGUCACUGCCUUGCGAGAGACGGUCGUUGACUUCAGCUAUCCCUACUUCUUGGAAGGCACCGUGCUCGUUUCCAGGGCUCCUACCAAAAAGGAUCCUACUUUGGCCGUCAUUCGACCUUUCACUCCUUUGGUCUGGUUACUUCUGGUCAUCACAACAUCAUUCCUGGGACCCAUUGUCUACGUCAUCACAGAACUCCAUCGUCUCAUCAGUCCCACAAACGACCCUCUCUCCCGGGUCACUUGGCCUCCUGGAAAAGCAAGGUCUUCAGACAAUGACAGAAGGGACCUUCCAGCACAAAAUGGAAGACAUUCCAGCCUCUCUAAUUACAGCUUCAACAUGUUUCGAAGUCUUGUUGCCCAGGGUGAUCAGACAGAGUCUGAUCGAACGCCCAUAAGAAUAGUUUUGGUGUUCUGGUACAUCUUUUGCCUUGUCAUUUAUUGUAAGUUUUUCUA